CACCCGCGGCUCGAGUGGUAGUCACUUUUAUUGAGCCUAAAGCGUUUGUAGCCGGAUUUGUAAAUCUCUAGGAAAAUACUUCUGCUUAACUGAAGAAAUUUUGGAGAGACUGCAAAUCUAGGGACCGGGUGAGGUUGAAUGUACUUCUGGGGUAGGGGUAAAAUCCUGUAAUCCUGGAAGGACGACCGGUGGCGAAGGCGUUCAACUAGAACGGAUCCGACGGUGAGGAACGAAGGCUAGGGGAGCAAACCGGAUUAGAUACCCGGGUAGUCCUAGCUGUAAACACUGCCUACUUGGUGUUGCAUCUCCGGUAAGGGGGUGCAGUGCCGUAGCGAAGGUGUUAAGUGGGCCGCUUGGGGAGUAUGGUCGCAAGGCUGAAACUUAAAGGAAUUGGCGGGGGAGCACCGCAACGGGAGGAGCGUGCGGUUUAAUUGGAUUCAACGCCGGAAAACUCACCGGAGGCGACCUGUGUAUGAGAGUCAACCUGAUGAAUUUACUCGAUAGCAGGAGAGGUGGUGCAUGGCCGUCGUCAGCUCGUACCGUAGGGCGUUCACUUAAGUGUGAUAACGAGCGAGACCCCCAUCUUCAAUUGCUAAGCUAUCCGUGAGGUUGGUAGAACUUUGAAGGGACCGCCAGUGCAGAACUGGAGGAAGGAGGGGUCGACGGCAGGUCAGUACGCCCCGAAUCUUCCGGGCAACACGCGCGCUACAAAGGACAGGACAAUGGGCUGCGACCUCGAAAGGGGAAGCCAAUCCCGAAACCUGUUCGUAGUUAGGAUUGAGGGCUGUAACUCGCCCUCAUGAAUCUGGAUUCCGUAGUAAUCGCGGGUCAACAUCCCGCGGUGAAUAUGCCCCUGCUCCU
This 861-nucleotide ribosomal RNA is filed under the name uncultured archaeon. RNAcentral describes it as "bacterial SSU rRNA". It matches the Rfam family "Archaeal small subunit ribosomal RNA", at positions 474 to 1337 of the family's 1478-position model. The record is from RNAcentral.